RNA transcript from Sapajus apella (tufted capuchin), 2948 nucleotides. It is a transcript of the gene named ALG9 alpha-1,2-mannosyltransferase, with no coding region annotated. The transcript has 17 exons. Lineage: Eukaryota; Metazoa; Chordata; Mammalia; Primates; Cebidae. The record is from RefSeq and is a predicted model, not a curated record.
AAGAUUUUUUGUCCCUCGGCGGACACCGUUUACCAGCCAAAGCUAAGUCUCCGCGCUCACCGACUUCAUAGGGUGCCGAAUCUUUUUUCCCCUAGCUUGCCAUGGCGAGCCGAGGGGCUCGGCAGCGCUUGAAGGGCAGCGGGGGCAGCGGUGGGGACACGGCCCCGGCCGCGGACAAGCUGCGGGAGCUGCUGGGCAGCCGUGAGGCGGGCGGCGCGGAGCACCGGACUGAGUUAUCUGGGAACAAAGCAGGACAAGUUUGGGCACCCGAAGGGUCUACUGCUUUCAAGUGUCUGCUUUCAGCAAGGUUAUGUGCUGCUCUCCUGAGCAACAUCUCUGACUGUGAUGAAACAUUCAACUACUGGGAGCCAACACACUACCUCAUCUACGGGGAGGGGUUUCAGACUUGGGAAUAUUCCCCAGCAUAUGCCAUUCGCUCCUAUGCUUAUCUGUUACUUCAUGCCUGGCCAGCUGCAUUUCAUGCAAGAAUUCUACAAACUAAUAAGAUUCUUGUCUUUUACUUUUUGCGAUGUCUUCUGGCUUUUGUGAGCUGUAUUUGUGAACUUUACUUUUACAAGGCUGUGUGCAAGAAGUUUGGGUUGCAUGUGAGUCGAAUGAUGCUAGCCUUCUUGGUUCUUAGCACUGGCAUGUUUUGCUCAUCAUCAGCAUUCCUUCCUAGUAGCUUCUGUAUGUACACUACGUUGAUAGCCAUGACUGGAUGGUAUAUGGAAAAGACUUCCAUUGCUGUGCUGGGAGUAGCAGCUGGGGCCAUCUUAGGCUGGCCAUUCAGUGCAGCUCUUGGUUUACCCAUUGCCUUUGAUUUGAUGGUCAUGAAACACAGGUGGAAGAGUUUCUUUUAUUGGUCACUGGUGGCCCUCAUACUCUUUCUGGUGCCUGUGGUGGUCAUUGACAGCUACUAUUAUGGGAAGUUGGUGAUUGCACCACUCAACAUUGUUUUGUAUAAUGUCUUUACUCCUCAUGGACCUGAUCUUUAUGGUACAGAACCCUGGUAUUUCUAUUUAAUUAAUGGAUUUCUGAAUUUCAAUGUAGCCUUUGCUUUGGCUCUUCUAGUCCUACCACUGACUUCUCUUAUGGAAUACCUGCUGCAGAGAUUUCAUGUUCAGAAUUUAGGCCACCCAUAUUGGCUUACCUUGGCUCCAAUGUAUAUUUGGUUUAUGGUUUUCUUCAUCCAGCCUCACAAAGAGGAGAGAUUUCUUUUCCCUGUAUAUCCACUUAUAUGUCUUUGUGGUGCUGUGGCUCUCUCUGCACUUCAGCACAGUUUUCUGUACUUCCAGAAAUGUUACCACUUUGUGUUUCAACGAUAUCGCCUGGAGCACUAUACUGUGACGUCGAAUUGGCUGGCAUUAGGGACUGUCUUCCUGUUUGGGCUCUUGUCAUUUUCUCGCUCUGUGGCACUGUUCAGAGGAUAUCAUGGGCCCCUUGAUUUGUAUCCAGAAUUUUACCGAAUUGCUACAGACCCAACCAUCCACACUGUCCCAGAAGGCAGACCUGUGAAUGUCUGUGUAGGAAAAGAGUGGUAUCGAUUUCCCAGCAGCUUCCUUCUGCCUGAUAAUUGGCAGCUUCAGUUCAUUCCAUCAGAGUUCAGAGGUCAGUUACCAAAACCUUUUGCAGAAGGACCACUGGCUACCCGGAUUGUUCCUACUAACAUGAAUGACCAGAAUCUAGAAGAGCCAUCCAGAUAUAUUGAUAUCAGCAAAUGCCAUUAUUUAGUGGAUUUGGACACCAUGAGAGAAACACCCCGGGAGCCAAAAUAUUCAUCCAAUAAAGAAGAAUGGAUCAGCUUGGCCUAUAGACCAUUCCUUGAUGCUUCUAGAUCUUCAAAGCUGCUGCGGGCAUUCUAUGUCCCCUUCCUGUCAGAUCAGUAUACAGUAUAUGUAAACUACACCAUCCUCAAACCCCGGAAAGCAAAGCAAAUCAGGAAGAAAAGUGGAGACCGGAGAAGAGCAGAACCAACUUACAGGAAGAAUUGAAAAUCGUGGGACUGGAUGGCUGUGUUAAGCUGUUCUCCACACUCUGGCCUGGCAUCUGAGAACUAGCAAGCCUCUCUUAGGCCAUAUGGGCUUCUCCACCAAAGCUGUUUGGCAGCUCCUAGCAGACCUUCUUGAUCAAAUCCUCGUGCUGUAAAUGAACACAGCCUAGUUGCCAACCCACAUGUCCUUUUCACCUGCAGCAAGACUAAGCUUCUAUAAAGCACUUCACAGGACUAGGACCCUGUCCUGGAGCUAUCUCAGGAAAAAGCCUUUACAGUCAGUACUGCAGUUUACAAGGCACUUUCAUAGCAUCUCAUUUGAUCCUCACAGUCACAACAUGUGGUAGACAAGGCAGGGAUUUGUAUCCCCAUUUUACAGAUAAGGAAACAGGCUGGGGGGUGGGGAGUGAGGGGAGAUAAGCGUAGUUGCCUGAGGUCACACAUCCAGUAAGUGAUAGAGCUGGGACUGGAACCUAGGUUUCCUCACUCUCAUCUAUUGCUCUUCCAUAUUCCUCACUCAACCAUGAAAACAUUACUUGAAAGGACUGAUGAGGUUAACCAGAGACCCAACUGUUAUUGUAACUUUCUAUUUUAAGGAAGAAUUGUAUCUGUAUUUCUUUGAGUUCUUUGGAGGCUCCAGUCUGCUUGUGUGUUAGACCAGCACAGCAGUGCUGUGAGAUGCAGCCUGACCUGUGGCAGGAAAGUAGUGCUUAUGUUUGGAAGUCAUGUUUUUUUGCAGCCACACAGGAUCCAAAUAUCAGUACUAUUCCUGUAGUCAAUCUGGGGUCACAUUAUAGGUGCCUUAUUUCCCUAAGGGUAACUGUUUUGAAUAUCUGCAAAUAGGAUGAAUCUAUUUUUCAGAAGUUCUAUCUUUCAUUUUCUUUUUUUUUUUGAGACAGUUUCAUUCUGUCACCCAGGCUGGAGUGCAGUGGCACAAUCUUGGCUCACUGCAACCUUU